UAGGGAAUAUUGCGCAAUGAACGAAAGUUUUGACGCAGCGACGCCGCGUGAGGGAAGAAGGUCUUCGGAUCGUAAACCUCUGUCAGCAGGGAAGAAAUUUUUAGUGUGCUAAUCAGCAUUAAAUUGACGGUACCUGCAAAGGAAGCACCGGCUAACUCCGUGCCAGCAGCCGCGGUAAUACGGAGGGUGCGAGCGUUAAUCGGAAUUACUGGGCGUAAAGCGCUCGUAGGUGGUAUGUCAAGUCAAGGGUGAAAUCCCCGCGCUCAACGUGGGAACUGCCUUUGAAACUGGCAGACUGGAGUGUGUGAGAGGAUAGUGGAAUUCCAGGUGUAGGAGUGAAAUCCGUAGAUAUCUGGAGGAACAUCAGUGGCGAAGGCGACUAUCUGGCACAUAACUGACACUGAGGAGCGAAGCGUGGGUAGCAAACAGGAUUAGAUACC
This 440-nucleotide ribosomal RNA is filed under the name uncultured bacterium. Its description in RNAcentral is "bacterial SSU rRNA". It matches the Rfam family "Bacterial small subunit ribosomal RNA", at positions 355 to 786 of the family's 1533-position model. The record is from RNAcentral.